This 253-nucleotide ribosomal RNA is filed under the name uncultured bacterium. RNAcentral's name for it is "partial 16S ribosomal RNA". It matches the Rfam family "Bacterial small subunit ribosomal RNA", at positions 524 to 776 of the family's 1533-position model. The record is from RNAcentral.
UACGGAGGGUGCAAGCGUUAUCCGGAUUCACUGGGUUUAAAGGGUGCGUAGGUGGGUUGGUAAGUCAGUGGUGAAAUCCCCGAGCUUAACUUGGGAACUGCCAUUGAUACUAUCAGUCUUGAAUAUUGUGGAGGUUAGCGGAAUAUGUCAUGUAGCGGUGAAAUGCUUAGAUAUGACAUAGAACACCAAUUGCGAAGGCAGCUGGCUACACAUAUAUUGACACUGAGGCACGAAAGCGUGGGGAUCAAACAGG